Molecule: RNA transcript, 976 nt
Organism: Stegodyphus dumicola
Lineage: Eukaryota; Metazoa; Arthropoda; Arachnida; Araneae; Eresidae
Source: RefSeq, a predicted model, not a curated record
GCCUGGAGUCCUCUUCAAGCAGCGCGCGGAGGAAAAGAGUGCCGGCGCACGGAAGGUAGUUGUACCGGCGAAAUCGAUUGGCGAAUCGUUCACACAGCUUUUGUUUUAAUCGUGCCACCAUAAUAAUCACAUGAGGCAACGGCUGUGAGCGAUUUAAACAUGUUUCCUCUAUUCUAACCACAUAUUCGACUUCCGUUUUGUAUUUCUGGUCAAGCUACAAUUUUAUCUGAGAGAUGAACAGAUAAAAUGUGCAGAUAUUUAUACGGAAUCGCCAGUUAUUGCAAAGAAUCGUAUUCUGUCUUCUGCUCUCAGCUAUUAUGUUGUGACCAUGAAUUUACCAUCCAGCUAAGCAAAUAUUGGAACACAUAACAAAUUUCGUUCGAUUAUACAACUAUGUUACAGGUUCAAAAUGCUCUACAAUGAUUUGGCAAGGCGAAUAUUCAUAUGGCAUUUUGUUUUGAAUACCUUUAUAUACAUUUUAUUAUACAAUUUAUACAAUUCUGAGAAAUCUUUCUUCUUGGACUUGAUCUCUUUGAAAUAUCUGAAAAAAUAGCAAUCAUGUAUUAAAAAUCUUGGCUUUGUAACAACUUUUAACUGCUCGUUGUUGAAACCUUCUGAAACGACGUUCAAUAUCCUGUAGCAACGCACUGGGCUGAAUGUAAUAACAUGAAUACCCAUUGUGUGAAUCUUAAAUAUAAUGUCAAUUUGAUAACGUUAGAAAUCCUUAACUCAAUGCUUCUUGGAUAUCAUUGUAUUCCUAACAGAGUACUAUCCUCUAAGUAAAUGGCACAUCUCUCCAUCUCUCUAAAUGUGGUAACUAAGAUCUACGGAUAACACCUUCUUGCUUAUAAUUUGUUAUCGACAUUGGAUAUCUGCUUCAUGAAAGCAUCAAAAUAAUCCAUGUGUACCAUUGGAAACAAAUUUGUCGGGUUGAAAUUUAAUAUUGGAGAGGCUUCCAAUAAAAUGGUUAAGAAGA